GGACGUGAGGGCGAUCAGGCUGUGACAUCUCUCACCCACUGAUCACCAGGGUCGAUUCAGGGGAUCUACCAAGCAGGGCAGAUGUCCCUUUCCUCCCUCACCCCUCCCAUGUGGGUCCCUCCUGAAGGUCAGCCCUGGGUUCGAAAGAAUGACCUUCCCCCAGAGGAGGACUGCUCUUCUAUCAGAAGUAUACGAGGACCUGUACCCCCUCCCCAACCCGGCUAAGACCUCCCAACAAGCUCUCAAGCUGCAUUUGUGGAGAAAAUAAGGUAGUUAAGCUCCCGAGACUCUAGAGACAUCCAAAUGAGGCACUGCCUGUGACAGGCUGCUGCCGCCU
Molecule: small nuclear RNA, 337 nt
Filed under: Mustela putorius furo (domestic ferret)
Lineage: Eukaryota; Metazoa; Chordata; Mammalia; Carnivora; Mustelidae
Description: 7SK RNA
Rfam family: 7SK RNA
About the family: 7SK was discovered as an abundant small nuclear RNA in the mid-70s but a possible function has only recently been suggested. Two independent studies have found that 7SK RNA binds the CDK9/cyclin T complex (known as elongation factor P-TEFb). P-TEFb activates transcription by phosphorylating the C-terminal domain of RNA polymerase II.
Source: Rfam by way of RNAcentral